GGGCCUGUAGCUCAGCUGGGAGAGCGGAAGCAUGGCAUGUUUCAGGUCGCAGGUUCGAUCCCUGUCAGGUCCACCA
RNAcentral lists this transfer RNA (76 nucleotides) under Pseudobdellovibrionaceae bacterium. RNAcentral describes it as "tRNA-Ala". It matches the Rfam family "tRNA". Rfam says of the family: Transfer RNA (tRNA) molecules are approximately 80 nucleotides in length. Their secondary structure includes four short double-helical elements and three loops (D, anti-codon, and T loops). The record is from RNAcentral. Lineage: Bacteria; Pseudomonadati; Bdellovibrionota; Bdellovibrionia; Bdellovibrionales; Pseudobdellovibrionaceae. RNAcentral also lists the same sequence under 2 other names.